RNAcentral lists this ribosomal RNA (110 nucleotides) under Palleronia abyssalis. Lineage: Bacteria; Pseudomonadati; Pseudomonadota; Alphaproteobacteria; Rhodobacterales; Roseobacteraceae. The record is from RNAcentral.
UGGUGGUCAUAGCACGAGCAAAACACCCGGCUCCAUUCCGAACCCGGUCGUUAAGUGCCGUAGCGCCGAUGGUACUGCGUCUCAAGACGUGGGAGAGUAGGUCGCCGCCA